This is a long non-coding RNA of Lontra canadensis (Northern American river otter), 315 nucleotides long. RefSeq lists it as uncharacterized. Lineage: Eukaryota; Metazoa; Chordata; Mammalia; Carnivora; Mustelidae. The transcript is spliced from 3 exons. The record is from RefSeq and is a predicted model, not a curated record.
GUCAAUCGUAACUCGUCGUUCAGUGAUCCGAGAGGUGGAGGGCUAUUGGUUGAGAGCGCCCGUCAGACCGGAUUGGAGUGAACCAUGAUUGGUCAGCACCGACACGAUCAGCAACCACAGUCUUCCUGGAGAGAUGAUGCUUGCUUGAACUGGAGGAAUUGAUGAAUGACAUUUGGAGGAGAAGAGAGCAUAGUACCCUUCUAGAACAGCAUGAACUGAACCAAAGCACAGAGCUUCCAUCUCCAACCAUUUCUCGCACCUGUCUGCCGUCUCCUGAAUGCCAGUGUGACUAAUGAGUGCCAGAGGCAGCAGAUG